UUUGUGUGAUACAGGUGAGACAUACAUUGUGUGAUACAGGUGAGACAGACCAGGUCAAUCCUUUGUGUGAUACAGGUGAGACAUACAUUGUGUGAUACAGGUGAGACAGACCAGGUCAAUCCUUUGUGUGAUACAGGUGAGACAUACAUUGUGUGAUACAGGUGAGACAGACCAGGUCAAUCCUUUGUGUGAUACAGGUGAGACAUACAUUGUGUGAUACAGGUGAGACAGACCAGGUCAAUCCUUUGUGUGAUACAGGUGAGACAUACAUUGUGUGAUACAGGUGAGACAGACCAGGUCAAUCCUUUGUGUGAUACAGGUGAGACAUACAUUGUGUGAUACAGGUGAGACAGACCAGGUCAAUCCUUUGUGUGAUACAGGUGAGACAUACAUUGUGUGAUACAGGUGAGACAGACCAGGUCAAUCCUUUGUGUGAUACAGGUGAGACAUACAUUGUGUGAUACAGGUGAGACAGACCAGGUCAAUCCUUUGAUCUGUGAUCUCUGCUCCAUUAGCUGACUGCAGUAGAGUGGCUUGA
Molecule: long non-coding RNA, 538 nt
Organism: Carcharodon carcharias (great white shark)
Lineage: Eukaryota; Metazoa; Chordata; Chondrichthyes; Lamniformes; Lamnidae
Exons: 3
Source: RefSeq, a predicted model, not a curated record